This 89-nucleotide transfer RNA is filed under the name Desulfobacterales bacterium. Its description in RNAcentral is "tRNA-Leu". It matches the Rfam family "tRNA". From Rfam's summary of the family: Transfer RNA (tRNA) molecules are approximately 80 nucleotides in length. Their secondary structure includes four short double-helical elements and three loops (D, anti-codon, and T loops). Lineage: Bacteria; Pseudomonadati; Thermodesulfobacteriota; Desulfobacteria; Desulfobacterales. The record is from RNAcentral.
GCCGGAGUGGUGGAAGUGGUAGACGCAGAGGACUCAAAAUCCUCCGGGCCUUGCGGUCCGUGCGAGUUCGAGUCUCGCCUCCGGCACCA